AGUGCUUCAUGGAGUACAAUUGCAAACAAUGAGACAAAGGGCGCCAAAUUUUUGCAUUGCAAAUGUAGUUAUUGUUGUGUACCAUUGCUUUAGUUAAUGGUAGUUAUGUUUAGCAAGGUUUUAAAUUGUGACUGUUGUUACGGUGAAUCACAAUCUUUGAUGUUGUGGCAAAUUGCAGAUACUAUGGCUGAUGCGGCCACAAUUACAGAAGUAGAUUUUCCGAAAACCUUUGCAUUGCAAUUGUAAAUGUGAUUGUGGACCUAUAAUUUAAAACCUUGUAUUGUUUAGGUUACCAAGUGAUGAAACUCAAACUUGUAUCAAAGCUGUUUAUAUUCUNNNNNNNNNNNNNNNNNNNNNNNGAGUACUUGAUAUAUAAUAAGAAUAUAAGGAAUUUGAUGUAUAUGUUUUGUCCUUAGGAAGUGUGUUCUCUCAAAUGUUGUUUUCGCAUUGUGGUUGAUCUGUUGCAAUAUC
RNAcentral lists this long non-coding RNA (471 nucleotides) under Trifolium pratense (red clover). RNAcentral describes it as "long non-coding RNA (TPRA_LNC012900)". Lineage: Eukaryota; Viridiplantae; Streptophyta; Magnoliopsida; Fabales; Fabaceae. The record is from RNAcentral.